Molecule: long non-coding RNA, 433 nt
Organism: Tyto alba (common barn owl)
Lineage: Eukaryota; Metazoa; Chordata; Aves; Strigiformes; Tytonidae
Exons: 2
Source: RefSeq, a predicted model, not a curated record
CCCCAGACCUCGGGCCUGCUGGGCCCGGCCCUAGCACUGCUGUCGGCGUUGCUCAGCGCUCGGUAGCCUCUGUCCGCUGAAGCACCGCUCAGCCCAGCGGGGCCGCAGCAGCUUCUCGGUGCCAGAGCACGCUGGGGGAUAAACGGAGGCCGGAGAGAAUCGCACGUGGUCAGACCCACGGUUUUUGUUGAAACUAAAGCUACAACUCUCUGAGUAAAUGGACGUAAGAUCGCUUACUUUUUGCUCCCUGGUCUGAAGAAAGCCAGCCCUUGGGAAAGAUCAUAACCACAUUUGAAAUCAUAUAAAGAAAUAAGAGCCUUUUCUGAAAUCAGGUAUGAAAUACAGAUUUUGCAAUUUCUGGCGAAAAGAGAGAUAACUCAUCAGGAGAUUGUUUUGCUCUGUUCCUUAGUAAAAAAAAAAAAAAAAAAAAAAA